CCUGGCGGCGAGUGGCGAACGGGUGAGUAAUGUAUCGGAACGUAUCCUGUAAUGGGGGAUAACCAGUCGAAAGAUUGGGUAAUACCGCAUACGCACGAGAGUGGAAAGUGGAGGAUCGCAAGACUUCACGUUAUAGGAGCGGCCGAUAUCUGAUUAGCUAGUUGGUGGGGUAAAGGCCUACCAAGGCGACGAUCAGUAGCAGGUCUGAGAGGAUGAUCUGCCACACUGGGACUGAGACACGGCCCAGACUCCUACGGGAGGCAGCAGUGGGGAAUUUUGGACAAUGGGCGAAAGCCUGAUCCAGCCAUGCCGCGUGCAGGAAGAAGGCCUUCGGGUUGUAAACUGCUUUAGUUCGGGAAAAAGGGAUGCUUGGUUAAUACCCAGGUGUUUUGAUGGUACCGGAAGAAUAAGCACCGGCUAACUACGUGCCAGCAGCCGCGGUAAUACGUAGGGUGCGAGCGUUAAUCGGAAUUACUGGGCGUAAAGCGUGCGCAGGCGGUCUUGUAAGACAGUCGUGAAAUCCCUGGGCUUAACCUAGGAACUGCGAUUGUGACUGCAAGGCUAGAGUGUGUCAGAGGGGGGUGGAAUUCCACGUGUAGCAGUGAAAUGCGUAGAGAUGUGGAGGAACACCGAUGGCGAAGGCAGCCCCCUGGG
Molecule: ribosomal RNA, 654 nt
Filed under: uncultured bacterium
Lineage: Bacteria
Description: bacterial SSU rRNA
Rfam family: Bacterial small subunit ribosomal RNA
Source: RNAcentral